RNAcentral lists this ribosomal RNA (254 nucleotides) under uncultured bacterium. RNAcentral's name for it is "partial 16S ribosomal RNA". It matches the Rfam family "Bacterial small subunit ribosomal RNA", at positions 524 to 776 of the family's 1533-position model. The record is from RNAcentral.
UACGAAGGGUGCAAACGUUGCUCGGAAUUAUUGGGCGUAAAAGCGCACGUAGGCGGCAUUGCAAGUCGGAUGUGAAAUCCCUCGGCUUAACCAAGGAAGUGCAUCCGAAACUGCAGUGCUUGAGUACUUAAGAGGAUCGCGGAAUUCCCGGUGUAGAGGUGAAAUUCGUAGAUAUCGGGAGGAACACCAGUGGCGAAGGCGGCGAUCUGGGAAGAUACUGACGCUGAGGUGCGAAAGCGUGGGGAGCAAACAGG